AGGAUUAGCCUUCUGUUUCUAGCCUGUUCAGUGUACAGUUUAUUCAAGGCUACAUGCUUUUCUUUAAUGCUUCUGGCUAUGCAUUUUCUCUUUUUACAUAUAGGAUUUGGGAUUGGGGGUGGGUUGGAUGUUUUUGUUUGGGGACUUAUUUAGUAGUAUUGAGUCUCUUAUAGCCCUACUCUUAAGCCUUCAAUACUGUCCACUCUUUAUAUUCCUUUACUUGCAGAAUUUAUAAAAGCCCCCAAACUGCAUAUAAUAUGAGCCUUUAAAACAUGGGUAAAACUAAUCCCAUUGAUGGGUUUGGAUGGUAUGUUAAGAAAUGGAGAUGCUGCAGAGCCCAACGUAAUUUUUUAAACAGCAAGUUUUCCAUCUCCCUACAAAUCCUCUGAAGCUUUUACCCAAGCCCUUUCUUGCCUCUCCAGUGCUAUUUUCCUUCAGAUGGACCUUAAACAUAAUUUCUUGGACACUACUAGAGAGACUUCGAGGCAAUAAUAAAAGAUCAGUAUUAACCAGCUAUAACAGAGGUUUGAUCAUGCUUACUUGUACAGUUUUUCCCCCGUUUUAAAAAGGAAUGUAAUAAAAUUUGUUUUUUCCAUAGAAUUAAAUAAUAUUAAAAUUGAGUGAAAGGUUGAUUGUUGAUGAAUAGAAUAGUACCUCUCAUCUGUGCAGUGUCUCAUUUCACCUCAGAGAAAAGGAUACAUAAGAGGAGUUUGUAAUUUAUCUUAGGAUAUUC
This 733-nucleotide long non-coding RNA is filed under the name Pan troglodytes (chimpanzee). RNAcentral's name for it is "long non-coding RNA NONPTRT003342". Lineage: Eukaryota; Metazoa; Chordata; Mammalia; Primates; Hominidae. The record is from RNAcentral.